GACGAACGCUGGCGGCGUGCUUAACACAUGCAAGUCGAACGGAAAGGCCCUGCUUUUGUGGGGUGCUCGAGUGGCGAACGGGUGAGUAACACGUGAGUAACCUGCCCCUGACUUUGGGAUAACUUCAGGAAACUGGGGCUAAUACCGGAUAGGAGCUCCUGCUGCAUGGUGGGGGUUGGAAAGUUUCGGCGGUUGGGGAUGGACUCGCGGCUUAUCAGCUUGUUGGUGGGGUAGUGGCUUACCAAGGCUUUGACGGGUAGCCGGCCUGAGAGGGUGACCGGCCACAUUGGGACUGAGAUACGGACCAGACUCCUACGGGAGGCAGCAGUGGGGAAUAUUGCACAAUGGGCGGAAGCCUGAUGCAGAAACGCCGCGUGCGGGAUGACGGCCUUCGGGUUGUAAACCGCUUUCGCCUGUGACGAAGCGUGAGUGACGGUAAUGGGUAAAGAAGCACCGGCUAACUACGUG
Molecule: ribosomal RNA, 468 nt
Filed under: uncultured bacterium
Lineage: Bacteria
Description: partial 16S ribosomal RNA
Rfam family: Bacterial small subunit ribosomal RNA
Source: RNAcentral